UCUUUAGCGGUGCGCGACUAAACUAAAUUACAUAGCGCACUAUCAUUACGGGGAACCUUACCGGGCGCUGCUAACCGGGAUAGUAAAAUAGGAGCGCUGCUUUGGAAAAGCAUCGGGUGAGCAAAUUUAGCCACCCGAUAGUUGCGCAAGUGACAGCUGCUAUUUCACAAAGUGCCAUCGAUGCUAUCUGUUGUUUUUAACUUGUAGUUUGUUUGCCGUGGUGUUUUUGUUGUUUGGUGCGCAGCAAAGAACAUGAGUGCAUCCAAAUCCCGCGGAAAAAACUGGAGUGUAGAAGAGGACGAAGCCCUGUGUACUGCGUGGUUGAAUGUAUCCCAGGAUGGAGCAACCGGGACGUAUCAAAAACUUGAUACACUGUAUGAACGCAUAUAUGAGAUGUUCAUAGAAAUAUGCACCGAGAAAAAUUUGUCUUGUAGCGCAGAGUUACGAGUUCCAAGCGGACUGAAAGCAAGGUGGUUGCUCAUCAGCAAAGCUUGCAGCAAGUUUUCGGGUUGCGUGGCGCAAAUUUCUGCUCGCCAGCAAAGCGGGACCACACAGUCCGACGUUUUCAAACAAGCUUUCACACUCUACAAUACAUCAACGAAGAGUCCGUUCAGUUUGCUGCACGCGUACAAAAUUUUGGAGUGUGCUCCAAAAUGGAAGCAGUACGUGGACAUUAAGGUGGCGGCAGUUAACUCGUCGAAGCGUAGGCAGUCGGAAGAA
RNAcentral lists this long non-coding RNA (720 nucleotides) under Aedes aegypti (yellow fever mosquito). RNAcentral's name for it is "lncRNA AAEL024138". Lineage: Eukaryota; Metazoa; Arthropoda; Insecta; Diptera; Culicidae. The record is from RNAcentral.